Molecule: non-coding RNA, 5286 nt
Organism: Cyanistes caeruleus (blue tit)
Lineage: Eukaryota; Metazoa; Chordata; Aves; Passeriformes; Paridae
Source: RefSeq, a predicted model, not a curated record
UGUAUAGAACAAUAUUUACAGGAAUGGUUAUUCUAAUGAUAGGAAAAACUGUUUCUAAUUUCAGUAGAUAGAUUCCUCAAUUUUUUAAGUGAUAUAAUGUAACAAACAAGCAAUUCAUUGUCAGAUUCAACUUAUUAGGAAUGUCUUGGAUUUGCAUUUUAUUUCUUAAUAAUACACUGGAAAAAUGAGUGGGCCAAAAACUAGUUUACUUUAUAUGUUAAAUUUCUGCAUUAGAAUUGAUAAAAGCUGAACAGCUGUUGCCAUUAGCUACAAAUUUUGAACUAAUAUAUAGCUUAUAAUGGUACAAUAAACAAUAGUAAACAAAUAUCCUUCAGAAUUUAGGUGCUGAAGAAAGGUUGGAAAUAAUUUUGUUCAUCCCCAGUAAUGUCGUUCCUCAUGUCAGUUUGUUCCUGCUUAACAUAGGAAAAACAAUCUUCAAAUAUUUAGGAUUGUUUUUUUACAUGAUAGAAAUUAUUAAAUAAGCUGUUUGCAUUGUUUUUUAUACCUCCCCUUCAACCAUGAGCAACAAUUUUCAUCUGAAUACUCCUGUGGGGCAAAUUGGGAUCAAUUUUGCAAUAAAAGUUCCAGAUAAACUUAACAAAUAUAAGAAUAUGUAUGAUAUAGGCAGACAGGUAUUUAAAAUCCACAGAUACCUCCUUUAAUGGCCAAGCCUCCUUUACUAACUCCAAAUUGUAAUUUUGUCAUAGGUCUAUGUUAAAUGAAAUUUCUUUGGGUCAGGUGGAACUGCCGUAAGUCUUCAUGUUACAGCUAAUGAUAAAAAAAUUCAACAACUCCACAUAUGUGGUUCAAGGGUGAUUAUAAUUUUAAAUCAGAAUCAUAAUUUCUGGUACAGAUUUUCAGCAAUGUAAACAUCCCCUGAAGUCAAUAAAUCCAUGUUAAUUUGCAUGAGUUAGGGAUUUAUUCUUCCCUUCCUUUCCUUCAUACACUUGAAUCGAGAUGUUUCAAUAAGUUUGGGAUAGAAUCUUAUCUGAGCAUAAGAAGCUUCAAGAUCAAAACCACCUGUGUUAAUAAUGGAUGUCAAAUACUGUUGUCCAAGACACAUCCAACAUUCUAAUUGGCUAUAUUGCAAAGCUGGCCUGAGGUGGGAAGUAUAGAUACAUCCCAAAUUACAGAUGCUGGAAACCAGCACCAUUGCCAAAUGACACUUGUUCCUUUUUCUUACACACGGGAAGAAAACUAUGGAAUCUUUGCAUUUCUUUGGAUAGCUAUUUUAUGUUGUUUGUGAAUGCAGCAGCAAUAAACCCACCUCAUAAUGAAAUAAUGACUUAUAAACUUGUAAACUUAUAAACACUAUUGGGGAGAAAAAAGCCCUAUGUUUUUCAACAACCUUGAGGAGCAGAUUAAUUUUUAGUAUAAAACUAUAAAUUCCAAUCUCUGUAACCAAUUGUCAGAAAGCCGAUAGAUUGCCUCUCCCCUGGGAAUAUUCCAUGGCAGUACCUAGGAAGUCCUCUCCUGAGGGCUUGUCUCUUUUAAAGUUUUUUGGUGAACAGGGGCAUCUGAUGCCUCCAGAAUGUCUGUUCUGAUAUCCCCCUUAGGGUUCCUCUUUGAUCCAAUUCUUUGUGUAGAUCUUUAGGUUUUUCAUUUUGGGGACACUAGCUCAUGUGAAUCUCAGACUCUUAAAAUGUCUAACCCUCAGAGUAUGUGUCUCUAUCUUAAAGCAACUCCCAUCAUUGUUGAAACUUCAGAAAUUGUGCCAAGAAAAGCCAUCUUUUUUUGUAAACUUAAAAAGUAGAGCUGUCCCAUGUGGGUUCAUAUUCCUCCCCACAUUUACAUGAGGGUACAGCUCACAUCCGCUACCUAAUUAAACCUCUGUUCUGCCUGCUUUAUUCUGAGGCUAUCAGCUUCUGUGGAAUAAAAAUAUGCCUAAAAUCCCGUCUGUCCCAGGCAUGUAGCACUUAGUGCACACCUUUCCUGGCAAGCAGCAUUGACCUUCCCCACAGAAUGGCUAUUUGUUGUUAUUUUUGUAGUAGCAAAAGUAUUCUAGAUGCUAAUGAAGGUCUUAUAUUUAGUAAGUGCACUGUUAUGUGAUGGCUGUGAAGCUGUCAGCAGUGCUGUUAAAGAGCACAAGCCUAACACAAAGGUGCACUGCACUGAGAAUGGAGGGGUUUAUGUUAUAUAGAAGGCAAGUAUAUUUAAUGAGUUUAUUUUGGUUAGCCUUUGGUUUAGUUUCAGGUCUGCCAAUACUGACAUCAUUUUUCCAAGCAGGGAGCACCAUCUAAGACUUCUCUGCAUCACUAUCCUUGGGGUGGGCCUGUGUGUGGGCUGAUGCAGUGCUCAGCACUCCAGAUCAUUUCACUUUGGCAACCAUUCUGCUUCUGCUGUCUCUAUCUCUAUAGUCUAUUUUAGGGGCUUACGGAGCACCAAUCCACCCAACUAAAAUAUAACUGAAACAAGAUAUUCAGCAUUAAAUAAGCAAAAUGUAAAAGACUCAAAAUAGGCUAUUUUUGUUAUUAUUAUUAUUAUGGGGUUAAAUGACUUAAACAUAGAUAUCUUCCUACUCCUCCUCCCACAUCUUUCUUUAGUUUGUCUCCUCUUGUUCACUUAGGAUGCACCGAUGGCCCACAGGCUUGUGCAAAAAAAGAAUGAACUCUGUUCUGUGAUGCGUCCAUGGGUGCCACAUAGUCAUCUAGCUAAAUUCUUUAAACAAAAAUGUUAUUGCUAGAAUUUUGUCUGUCCUGAGAUCCUUGCAGUAAACCCUUAGCAACCAGAGGGGGCAGGGAGCAUCCUUUAGGGUGGUCUCACAUGGCCGAAUUAUGCUGGCAUGAAAACACAGCUACGCCUGAACCUGCACUUUAGAGUGAAGUGGAUUUAUUACGCGGUCUGCAGGUGGAUUUUUAAGCAGGUACACCAAUGGUAGGUGUUUGGAAGGAUAUAGGGGAAUAACUGACCAUAUGCUGGGGACUUCAGCUUGCCACAGAGGAUCCAAGCUAUUUGCUAAGACACAGGCUUCCCUCACGCCCUGCCCCUCGCACCUCUCUCCGGAGCCGCUCAGCACUGCGGCUCCUACCGCCGCUCCCGAAGGCGCUGUGGCGGCAUCCGCAAUUAACCGAGAGCCACUGCAGGGCUCUCAGCUGUGCCUCUCGCAGAUGCCAUUUGCCAGCUUGGCACAGGCAGCUCUGCAGCUCCUCUGCAGGCACUCUGGGGUUCGCCUCAACCGAGGCUUUGGCUCGGCUCUGGUGAUUCUCCCGCUCUCCGCGCAGGAACUGCCGAUGGCGAUUAACGUUAAACCCACCAGCAAGGGCCCGGGCGACACAGCACAAACCGCUUCGCUUCCCCGGAGCCUACUGUGGCCUCCCGAGGGACCCUGUUUUCCCCCUGCCUUUCCCGCAGGCAACGCGGCCGCAGCGGGAGGGCUCUGUGCUGGACUCGGCGGCCAUUCGCUGCCCGGGGGAUGGCGGCUGCCAUAUAGGUCCUGCAGCGCCAGCGAAGGGGAGGCGGCGCUGGAGCGGCCGCUCCGAUCCUCGCUCCCUCCGUCCGUCGGCGGGCAGCUCCCGCCAGCGAGCCGCUGGCCGGCGGCGGGACCUAUAUGCUCUCGCGGAAGGUUACCACUGCCUUGCACGGAGGCUGCCGACGGAAGCGGUGCUGAGGCUUCUGAGGCAGCACUUUGUCAAGGAGCGCCUGAUUGGCUAACGGGACUCUGCAAUGGUUAUCUGGUCUGCCAUCUUAUGGAGCCUGAAUGGUACUGCCAAAUUACAGAAUGUGGAGCUACAUGAUCAUAUUAGGUGAAUAGUUUGAAUUUUUCCUUUACAGGUGAAAAGGAUUCUUCAGGAAGACCUUAUUACUUUGCUUUUGAAAAGUUUGAGGUCAGUUAGGAAAGCAGUUGAUCUAAGUGGUUGUGGUACAUCAGAUACUGUAGUGGAAUACUUAAGCAGAUUGUCCAGCAUUCAGUGAAGCUUUGCAGAGUUUUACCAGCUGCUGGAAAAUCUAGUAGUACAGGCAUCCUCCUGUAGCUGACACACCCACCCACAGAAGAACAUUUAUUGUGCUGGGAACCAGGGGCUGUUAAAGAGACGGUUUCUUUAUGGAAAGCCCUACAGACAACAGCUGUGUGCCAUAUCCUGUCUGUUUUCUUAAACCUGGGCUGUUAUACAGUGAGCUUUUUCUAUAGUCGCUCCAAUUGUUUGACUUAAUUCUAUCACAGGUUUUAUGGCAGGGGGUUAUGGCUCUGAGCCUUCUUUCAUUGUGGUUCUGGUUUGAUCAGUCUCAUCAUGUGAUUAUUUCCCUGAAUAUAAACUUUAACUUGUUUGUUAUCCAUCCUAGCAUACAUUCCAUGACAACAAAACAGACUGAUACAGAGCAGAGGCCCUCAAGAUUAAUCCAUUGGAUAGGUGCAGGCGUUUGGUGCAACUGGAAGCAUCAAACUUCUGUCCCCAGACUGAUGUGCUGGAUGUGCCAGAAGAUACAUGCUUCCACACCAGCCCUCUUAUGCCACUUGUCUACCUGUGUCCAUGCAUCAUAUACUGAGGUCCCAUGUUUUAACUUGCUUCCCUCAUCUCCAGAAGAAGCAGCUGGUUUCAUUUCCUCAUAUGGCUACACUCCACCCAUGUCACGUUUCUGAACUUGUCUUGGUCCCAUAGUAUUGGAAAGGUGGCUCUUAGCUAGGUUUCUACAGUGACGGUGCAGAGGCAAGAGCUGCUAACCUGGACAGCAGCAAAACACUGUCCAUCAGCUGGCUGGUCUUAGCUGCUGGUCAUACACAGCUCCAGGGGUGGAAGAGCUUCCAGGCUCCAGAAACUGCUCUGUGCCAAAGCAUACUGGAGAUACAGGAAGACUUCACAGUAUAAAUGCUCCAAAACAGCAGGGAGAUCACAGGAAGCUCACAGGUUGCUAUAUAGAAAAUACUGUUCUGCAUCCGACUGGAUUUCACUUUGGGUCAGUAUCUUCCUACAUCUAUGGCAAGCAAUAGAAGCCUGUACAGAUGACUGCAAACCAGAACCCUCAGACCUUGGAUUUGUACGUUUGUGCUGAUUUCUUGCUUAAGGGAGCUCAGUUCAACAUGCUGUACUGCCAGAUCCAUCCCUGCAGUAAUUCUCUUGGCUUCACUGGAUGGCCACAUGGGAUUGCCUGUGCUAUCUGGCUAAGAGAAGAGAUUCUGUACAAUUCCAAAGGGAUCUGCUUGACAAUAUUAAAAAAUGAAGUCUGAAAAGCAUGCUAACUGUGUUGGGCUUUGGACAGUUCAACUGUUUUGUUCAAAGUAGAGGCCAUGAGAGCCACUUUCCAUUCAGAGAUCACAAGAAACAAUUAAAACUUUGAUUUACGUAGUGA